AGUGAACGCUGGCGGUAGGCCUAACACAUGCAAGUCGAACGGCAGCACAGUAAGAGCUUGCCCUUACGGGUGGCGAGUGGCGGACGGGUGAGGAAUACAUCGGAAUCUACUUUUUCGUGGGGGAUAACGUAGGGAAACUUACGCUAAUACCGCAUACGACCUACGGGUGAAAGCAGGGGAUCUUCGGACCUUGCGCGAUUGAAUGAGCCGAUGUCGGAUUAGCUAGUUGGCGGGGUAAAGGCCCACCAAGGCGACGAUCCGUAGCUGGUCUGAGAGGAUGAUCAGCCACACUGGAACUGAGACACGGUCCAGACUCCUACGGGAGGCAGCAGUGGGGAAUAUUGGACAAUGGGCGCAAGCCUGAUCCAGCCAUACCGCGUGGGUGAAGAAGGCCGUCGGGUUGUAAAGCCCUUUUGUUGGGAAAGAAAAGCAGCAGGUUAAUACCCCGCUGUUCUGACGGUACCCAAAGAAUAAGCACCGGCUAACUUCGUG
This 492-nucleotide ribosomal RNA is filed under the name uncultured bacterium. RNAcentral's name for it is "partial 16S ribosomal RNA". It matches the Rfam family "Bacterial small subunit ribosomal RNA", at positions 29 to 507 of the family's 1533-position model. The record is from RNAcentral.